RNAcentral lists this transfer RNA (72 nucleotides) under Madurella mycetomatis. It matches the Rfam family "tRNA". From Rfam's summary of the family: Transfer RNA (tRNA) molecules are approximately 80 nucleotides in length. Their secondary structure includes four short double-helical elements and three loops (D, anti-codon, and T loops). Further hydrogen bonds mediate the characteristic L-shaped molecular structure. tRNAs have two regions of fundamental functional importance: the anti-codon, which is responsible for specific mRNA codon recognition, and the 3' end, to which the tRNAs corresponding amino acid is attached (by aminoacyl-tRNA synthetases). tRNAs cope with the degeneracy of the genetic code in two manners: having more than one tRNA (with a specific anti-codon) for a particular amino acid; and 'wobble' base-pairing, i.e. permitting non-standard base-pairing at the 3rd anti-codon position. Lineage: Eukaryota; Fungi; Ascomycota; Sordariomycetes; Sordariales. The record is from Rfam by way of RNAcentral.
GGAUAAGUAGCUAAGUGGUAUAGCAGCGAACUGCAGUCCGGUAGGUCAUGCGUUCAAUUCGCGCCUCGUCCU